AGGGGUGCAGCAGGCGCGAAACCUCCACAAUUCACGCAAGUGAGAUGGGGUUACCUCGAGUGCCGUCUGAAGAAGGCGGCUUUUCCAUGGUGUAACAAGCCGUAGGAAUAAGGGGGGGGCAAGACUGGUGUCAGCCGCCGCGGUAACACCAGCCCCCCGAGUGGUGGGGAUGAUUAUUUGGCCUAAAGCGUCCGUAGCCGGCUUUGUAAAUCUCUCGUUAAAUCCAGCGUCCUAAGCGUUGGGCUGCGAGAGACACUGCAGAGCUAGAGGGUGGGAGAGGUCAGCGGUAUUCCUGGGGUAGGGGCGAAAUCCAUUGAUCCCAGGAGGACCACCAGUGGCGAAGGCUGCUGUCCAGAACACGCCUGACGGUCAGGGACGAAAGCUGGGGUAGCGAAUCGGAUUAGAUACCCGAGUAGUCCCAGCCGUAAACGAUGCAGGCUAGGUGUUGGGUCGGCCACGCGCCGCCUCAGUGCCACAGGGAAGCCAUUAAGCCUGCCGCCUGGGGAGUACGGCCGCAAGGCUGAAACUUAAAGGAAUUGGCGGGGGAGCACCACCAGGCGUGAAGCCUGCGGUUUAAUUGGAGUCAACGCCGGGAACCUUACCGGGAGCGACAGCAGAGUGAAGGCCAGGCUGAAGGUCUUGCCAGACGAGCUGAGAGGAGGUGCAUGGCCGUCGCCAGUUCGUGCCGUGAGGUGUCCUCUUAAGUGAGGUAACGAACGAGACCCGCGCCCCAUGUUGCCAGCAAAUCCUAAAGGGAUGUUGGGCACUCUUGGGG
This 775-nucleotide ribosomal RNA is filed under the name uncultured archaeon. Its description in RNAcentral is "bacterial SSU rRNA". It matches the Rfam family "Archaeal small subunit ribosomal RNA", at positions 326 to 1102 of the family's 1478-position model. The record is from RNAcentral.